UGAAUACGAGACGCUAAGGCGUCGAAGUAGUGUAUGUCAUACUUCCAAGAAAAGCUUGCACUGUCAUAAGUAAAAGAUGCCUGUACCAUAACCGACACAGGUGGGUAGGUAGAGUAUACUAAGGGGCGCGAGAUAACUCUCUCUAAGGAACUCGGCAAAAUAACUCCGUAACUUCGGGAGAAGGAGUACCUUAUUCUAUAAGGUUGCAAUAACAAGAUCCAAGCAACUGUUUAUCAAAAACACAGGUCUCCGCUAAGUCGUAAGACGAUGUAUGGGGGCUGACGCCUGCCCAGUGCCAGAAGGUUAAAGAAGUCGGUUAGCAUUAGCGAAGCUGGUAACUGAAGCCCUGGUGAACGGCGGCCGUAACAAUAACGGUCCUAAGGUAGCGAAAUUCCUUGUCGGGUAAGUUCCGACCCGCACGAAAGGCGUAAUGAUUUGGACACUGUCUCGGAGAGGGGCUCGGUGAAAUAGACUUGUCUGUGAAGAUGCGGACUACCUGCACCAGGACAGAAAGACCCUAUGAAGCUUUACUGUAACUUGAAAUUGAAAUUGGACUUUAUUCGCGCAGUAUAGGUGGGAGGUGUUGAUUAUAAUCUUGCGGGAUUAUUGGAGCCAUCAGUGAGAUACCACUCUUGUAAUGUUAGAUUUCUAACUUUGAAUCAUUAUCUGGUCAAAGGACAGUUUCAGGCGGGCAGUUUGACUGGGGCGGUCGCCUCCCAAACGGUAACGGAGGCGUACAAAGGUUUCCUCUGAACGGGUAGAAAUCGUAUCUAGAGUGUAAAGGCAUAAGGAAGCUUGACUGUGAGACCUACAAGUCGAACAGGGACGAAAGUCGGUCUUAGUGAUCUGACGGUACUGAGUGGAAAGGCCGUCACUCAACGGAUAAAAGUUACUCUAGGAUAACAGGCUGAUCUCCCCCAAGAGUUCACAUCGACGGGGAGGUUUGGCACCUCGAUGUCGGCUCAUCGCAUCCUGGGGCGGUAGUACGUCCCAAGGGUUGGGCUGUUCGCCCAUGAAAGCGGUACGCGAGCUGGGUUCAGAACGUCGUGAGACAGUUCGGUCCAUAUCCGGUGUAGGCGUUAGAAUAUUGAGAGGAGCCUUCUUUAGUACGAGAGGACCGAGAAGGACAUACCUCUGGUGUACCAGUUAUCGUGCCAACGGUAAACGCUGGGUAGCUAUGUAUGGAGUGGAUAACCGCUGAAAGCAUCUAAGUGGGAAGCCCACCUCAAGAUAAGUA
RNAcentral lists this ribosomal RNA (1237 nucleotides) under metagenome. RNAcentral describes it as "bacterial LSU rRNA". It matches the Rfam family "Bacterial large subunit ribosomal RNA", at positions 1564 to 2810 of the family's 2925-position model. The record is from RNAcentral.